CCAUGCUCAAAACCGAGCGUCUACUCUCAUUUUAAAAACAGAAGAGCAGAAAGAGAAAGGAACGAUCGUGUCGCGAGCAUAAAUCGAAACAAAUCGAUAAAUCGGAAGGAUUAAAAGCAACAGGAGGUCUCUAUAAACAGUGAUCGAUACGGUUGACGUUAAAGCGCGAGGUAACAGUGAUCGAAUCUUGGGAAACGAGGCAGGUAAUCGUCGAGCGAAUCGCGAGCAGUUCUAGAGGGAGGAAAAAGGAAGGAGAGCGAAAGGUGUGGGACGACGAAGCGGGGAAAUGAAACCGAUAAGGCGAUUCGAGGCUAACCUUCGCGGCGGAGAAAGAGAAAAGUGAAUUGGGGCAAAGGUCUCUGACAUCGUGGCUGGCCGUGGGAGAGGAACAAGCCACGGAGAAGUGGUACGACCGGCUUCUAGAGGAGAGAGAGCGAAGUACCACUAUAGUUUGUCGUGACAGCUUCACAAUUAAUUAAAAAAAUCGAUAAUAAGGAUGAUUAAGAGAACGUCAGCAUCCAACUGAACAAAACGAAAAAUUUGUAACGCUAUAAGGUAAAUUUCGGGAACGAUAAGGAGGUUAUAGCUGCUAAGAUAAUUUCGAUGAUGGAAGACAC
Molecule: unclassified non-coding RNA, 617 nt
Filed under: Bombus terrestris (buff-tailed bumblebee)
Lineage: Eukaryota; Metazoa; Arthropoda; Insecta; Hymenoptera; Apidae
Description: misc RNA ENSBTSG00005020366.1
Source: RNAcentral